Mauremys reevesii (Reeves's turtle) is the source of this 1056-nucleotide long non-coding RNA. RefSeq lists it as uncharacterized. The transcript is spliced from 4 exons. NCBI's taxonomy places the organism in Eukaryota, Metazoa, Chordata, Testudines, Geoemydidae. The record is from RefSeq and is a predicted model, not a curated record.
CACAGCCACAGCCCUAAAGUAGCCAUUUUGUAGCUGAUUGUUGCUUGCUGCUUUCACCUUUCUUGUAGCUGAUAAUGUUCUUAACUCCUGUUACGCUGUCACCUGGUUUUAAAUUUUCAUACUGCGGAGGAGAUGGCACGUUCUUAAAAGGAAAGUUAAGGAAGAUCUGAGAUGUUCUUAAGAGUCUGAGAAGUUGUGCAGUGUUUUGGAUGGUUGUUAUCCUUCACUCCCAAUGCAGCUGCAUUUCAGUGGUCUCGUAUGCAGAGAAUUGUAAAACGCCUGUGGUAUCCUUCAGGAUAAACAGUGCUAUGCAAAAUGGGAGCUACAAUUAAAGGAGAAAACCCAUUUACCGAGAGCUGUUUUCACAGGCUCAAUCUUAGACUUGUAGCACCAGAUUUUUCAAACUAAGAUGCGUGCAUUUAUAGCUUUGAAAAUUAUCACCAUCAGAUGAGGUGCAGCUGAGGACACCACCAUCUUUCUCCUUAUAAUGUCAUCAUUCUCUGGAGUAAGAAAAUCACAUGGAGGUAUAGUGCUUUGGCUCACGGUCCUGAAGGGCUUUGCUCUGCAGAACUCUCAUGCCUGUAUUCCUCUUUAGGAGCACCCUAGCGAGAGGAUAACGCUCUUGAGCAAACUGGAAGAUGGCUGUUCCGCUAACAUUCUUUAUCUUCAUUUUCCCAAAUGUCGCUAAGCAGGUUUUGCAAAAUUAAUGGAGUAACAGCAAAGUUCCAUCAAAUUAGGCAGAAGGUUUUCUGCAGUACAGUGGUUUGAGCAAACUGACUCUGCCUUAGUCACAAUGUAAGAACUUGCUUAAACAAAAAUUUAUUGGAGUGUUUUUGUGCAGAUUUUAGUUCAUUAGAAUACUUUACUAUACAUGAUCAAUUUUGUCCUUACAUGUUAACAACUGUACAGAUCUAAAGGUCAGACUUGUAUAUUAUUUCACUCCCCAAAUACUGCUUUUUGUUUUCUGCAGCUUUAUUUAAAUAUUUUAAUCAUAACUCUUGUAGUUUUAUUUCUAAUGGAGCUUGAAUCUUUUGGGGAAAUAAAUAAUGAAACAAU